CUACGGGCUGCUCCAGUGGGGAAUAUUGGGCAAUGGGCGAAAGCCUGACCCAGCAACGCCGCGUGAUUGAAGAAGGUCUUCGGAUUGUAAAGAUCUGUCCUUGGGGACGAAAAAAAUGACGGUACCCAAGGAGGAAGCCCCGGCUAACUACGUGCCAGCAGCCGCGGUAAUACGUAGGGGGCGAGCGUUGUCCGGAAUUACUGGGCGUAAAGGGUGCGCAGGCGGCGCUUUAAGUCAGAUGUGAAAUAUUCGGGCUCAACCCGAAGGGUGCAUUUGAAACUGGAGUGCUUGAGUGCAGGAGAGGAAAGUGGAAUUCCUAGUGUAGCGGUGAAAUGCGUAGAUAUUAGGAGGAACACCAGUGGCGAAGGCGACUUUCUGGACUGUAACUGACGCUGAGGCACGAAAGCGUGGGGAGCAAACAGGAUUAGAUACCCCUGUAGUC
Molecule: ribosomal RNA, 442 nt
Filed under: uncultured bacterium
Lineage: Bacteria
Description: partial 16S ribosomal RNA
Rfam family: Bacterial small subunit ribosomal RNA
Source: RNAcentral